UGAAAGUGAAACCAAGGAGACGAGUGUGUGUGUGUGUGUGUGUGUGUGUGUGUGUGUGUGUGUGUGUGUGUGUGUGUGUGUGUGUGUGUGUGUGCAGACCGUGAGGAUCAUGGCGUUUAUCACAGACAUCACCGUCACCAUCCAUGAAGCUGAUUAUAGAGACCCUGGAGCACUGAUGAAGAUCCUCCGACCUUACGGUCCCCAGGAGAGAGGUUCCUGCUACAGAGUGAGGGGAACCAUGGAGGAGCUGGAGCAGCUCUCAGUCCUACUGUCAGCGUUGGCUCGUCCUGCUCAGCGCGAAGCUUCGCCUCACGUGAAGUCUGUGGAUGUGUCCGCCGUCGUUAUGGAAUACAUUCAGCAAAAACGUGCAGAAGAACUCGACAGAAUUCAAGGGAGCAGUUUUGUGAUUGAACCACAGGCUGACCUCAGUGGCACCGUGAGAGUGACCAUACGACCGCGGCAGGUCUCCACGCACCCUGCUCACGCUGACUGUGUCAGACAGAGAUUCAUCACAUUCUACCAGAGGACGGCCUCUGACCUGCAGGUCUCUUCUGUCCCGGUGAGCCCACAUGACCUCAGAGACCUGCAGAGGAGAUUCCAACAACUGAUGUUUAAACACAGCGACAAACGUGACGACGUGAUAGUGACUGGGCCUUUUGUUCACAUCGCUAAACUGAGAGAGUUCCUUUUACAAAAGACACCAAGUGUAAGCGAGAGUCCAGUGAACAAAGGUGCGUCCAACGUUCCAGGCAGUGGUCAGCCUACGCACAGCAGAGAUCCUGAAGAAGAAUCCUGUCCGAUCUGCAUGGAGUCGAUGGCAACAGCAGAGAAAACGACCCUGAGGUGCAAGCACUCCUUCUGCAGUGGAUGUCUGAAACAGGCAUUCAGCUACAAGCCUGUGUGUCCGACGUGUGGAGCGUUAUACGGCACAUUGAGGGGAACACAGCCUGAUGGAGGCACAAUGAAGGUCACCAGGAACUCUUCCUCUGUACCUGGAUAUGAGAAAUAUGGUACGAUAGUCAUCCAGUAUCGCAUCCCAAGUGGCAUCCAAAAGGAGGAGCAUCCGAGCCCCGGUGAGCCGUACGAAGGUGUGUCCCGCACGGCCUAUCUCCCACACUCCCCAGAGGGCCAGAGGGUCCUGGGACUGUUGCGACGGGCCUUCGAUCAGAGACUCAUCUUCAGGGUGGGUCGCUCCACCACCAGCGGCAGGAACAAUGUGGUCACAUGGAACGAUAUUCACCACAAAACCUCCACACAUGGAGGAUCAACACACUAUGGAUACCCAGAUCCUGAUUACCUCAGCCGGGUUGCAGACGAACUCAAGGUCAAGGGAAUUGAAGGAGUCACUUCACACAGGAAGUGACUCACAAGCCCGUGGAAUGUGUCAGGUUAAGUUACUCUGUUAUCUCUACAAAGUUAUGUACAAUCAAGGUAAAAGUCACACAGAUUAGAUUAGAUUAGACACAGAAGGUGUAAUUCUUUCCUUUUUAUUGUCAUUUGAUGUUCCACGUUCAAAAUCAAAUCCCUCGAUUGCCACCGCUCCCCUGUGUACCCCCCACCCGCCUUGGUGCCCCCCACCCCCCUGUGUGCCCCCCGCCCUGCAGACUAUCAGAAAGUACAUACAUAAGUACAUACAUUCUGAUAUCUGAAAAAAUGUGUUGGCUAAUGUACUUGUUAAUCACGUCACAAGAGUGAUGUGAUUCGAAUUUUCACUCACCAAGAUUUCUCUACACAGCCCUGGCACUUUUAGUGCUUCACAAGAAUAAAACAUUAUAUAUAUAUAUAUAUAUAUAUAUAUAAAUAAAGAUGACUUACUUACUCAAACAAGUGACCUUGGUAACCACAAACCCUGCUUCAUAGUCCAGGUUCACUUUGUCCUUUAUUUGAAGCUUGUCCUAAAUAAUUGACUUGAGUUGUAUCUAUAUUUAUCUUUAGUUAUGUUUCACUAGUAUAUGUAGUGUAUAUUAUAUUAUUGCAUGGUCUGAUCUGUUGUGUUUAUGGACUUGCUGUGUGAUUUGCAUAUUUAGUUUGAGGAAAGUGAUCAGAGCUGGUUUGCGGUUGAUUUGGCUCAGGUGAGAGAUCCCUCACCCACUCACACACGUCAGUGACGUCACCUGGGUCUGAGGGCCUGAACUGGUAUUAAGAGGAACGGGACAGCACCUGGACCUUCACCACGCUGAGACCUGCCUGUUGACUGUGCUCACACUCACUGAUUGAUUUACCUGCAGUUCACCAACAGCCUUUUUUAAAAAAUUGGCCAGAGAUGUGAUGCGUUAUGAAAAAAGCAAAAACUAAAACGUGGGAAAUGCAUCACGUCAUUUGUCAGGUGAGUGGUGAAAUGAUCCUCACUGACGUCUAGUCUGUCUGAUUUGUGUUCCACAGUCAGAGGUGCGUCUGGUUCAAUUAGGCCCUGCUAAUGUGUCCACAAGGUAAAUAAGUUGUCAUUGAAACGCAGGAAAAUAUCUGUAAACUCACUCUGACACACACACACGCUCACAGACAGCAGCAUAUGUCGUCACAUGAGACAAAAGGCUGAGUCUACGGUCGACAAGCUGAAUUUAAAUCAGUUGUGUGAAGAGGCACUUUCAAAGAAAGAACAAAGACCAGAUGUCCCUUUAUCUAGAGAACAUUUAUUAUGUCUCAUAUUCAAUCUUCACUUCUCCAGUCGCUGCCUGAUCACUCCCAGCUCUGAGCUACAUACAAUAUCACAUCUGUGAUCACCAAUGUCUUCCACAACCUCCAUGAGCCUAACUUGCAAAGGAGAACAAAGAAAACAGUUCAACAUGUAUGAAAAUAAAAUUCAUAUGAUUUGAGACAAUAUGAAAGUAAGAGCAACAUAUCGUGAAAAGGCUUUGUUAAAUGUUUUAGAGCAUUUUGAGACUAAAGGCAGAUGAAGAUGAUUUUGGAAACUUGACCUUUGAAUAUGUGACUGAUACAAACAUUGAAGUUCAUACAUCAACUCUUCUGAUUCUUUUAGUGCGUCACUGAUGGCCCAUCACGUUUCAACAGUUAAGUAAAGAGCGUGUUUUUAUUUUGAGAGUAAAACACUGAACAUUGACAUGUCCCUGGUUUACCAUCAACCUCUCACUCACCUGGUGUCUGGCUGUAGUACAGGUCGUAAGCCCCGCCCCCUGGUGUCUGACGGCAGUACAGGCCGUAAGCCCCGCCCCCCGGUGUCUGGCUGUAGUACAGGCAGUAAGCCCCGCCCCCCGGUGUCUGGCUGCAGUACAGGCAGUAAGCCCCGCCCCCCGGUGUCUGGCUGCAGUGCAGACAGUAAGCCCCGCCCCCUGGUGUCUGACGGCGGUACAGGCCGUAAGCCCCGCCCCCUGGUGUCUGGCUGCAGUACAGGCCGUAAGCCCCGCCCCCUGGUGUCUGGCUGCAGUGCAGACAGUAAGCCCCGCCUCCUAAGAUGGGACAAGAACCAUUUUAAAUAGUCGAAAACAAUCAAAAACAUUUUUUCCAGAUGAUUUCUAUCAUGUGGACUCAUUCUUUACAUGAAUGACCUUGCCAAGGAUGAGGAAAGAUGUAGCUUAACUACCAUCAGACGCCUCACCAUGUCCAGUCAACGCAUUAGACGUCAGUGUGAUACAAGCUCUAUGUCUCUUAAUAGGAACAAGGUUUCCCACCUCUGUUUUGUGUUAAAGAUAGACAGUAUAUAUAAAUCAAGCAUAGUAAUGUGCAUGGGGCAGGUCACAUCCCAGACCUCUCCCUGUACUGGAACAGCCAGACAUUACACAUCUUCAGAUAAGAACAUUUCCCUAAAUGUUUUAAAGACCCGAGUCCAAACGCAUGAUGAAAAGAUCCUUGUGGAUUCCUUCAUUGUUUGACUAUAACCCAAUUCACUACUAAGUGAAAAGUAUAAAUAUUUCUAUUUGGAUUUUGCUAAGAACAUAGCUGGCAUUGAUCAGGUAUACAAUCCUCAACGGCCCCUUGUCUAGAGAAGAGUGCUUGGUGUGUCACUGAAAAUUACAAAAGGUACACGGGAUGUUUUAUCAAGCUCUAAGAGAAAAUCGUGACAUUGGACCAUGACUGAAACAUUCAGAUGUGACAGGCUCAACUCCUGAGUGAAGCCUGGCUGAUGUGCAGUUUGACAGUGCUCCAUCAUUUGAAUUGCUUUUAUGAAUGAAACUGCUCCAGGAUGUGUAAAACAGAGAUAUUCCCGUCUUAUGGUUUUAAACAAGUUAUCUCCUACAUUAUCCGAGACAGUGAACACAACAUGGAUGUGGGUGUGACGGGACAGGGGUUGUUGUCUUAGUCUCAUACUAAUGGUUGCUUGAUUAAUAAUGCUUUCAUGUUGCACCGUUUAAUAUUUAGAACAUUUAUUCCUCCUUCAAGCAUUAUAUAUUUUUAAUGUAAGCUCUGAGGCAAGUGUGGGAAAAAAAUAAUCUGGCGAUUUUAUUCUAUAAAUCUGGUCUCAGCUGCUUUUCCUCCUGUUGGGAAAGUAUGUUGUUGUUGUAAUACUAACGUUGACCACCAGAGGCUGGGAUGUUAGAGAUUAUAGAUCAUUACAGUAACUGUCCUUCGCAUAACAACUUAUGCAUGUAGAAAUAAAACCUGCUCUAGAUCA
Scophthalmus maximus (turbot) is the source of this 4567-nucleotide RNA transcript. RefSeq lists it as uncharacterized. The record is from RefSeq and is a predicted model, not a curated record. NCBI's taxonomy places the organism in Eukaryota, Metazoa, Chordata, Actinopteri, Pleuronectiformes, Scophthalmidae. The transcript has 5 exons.